This 409-nucleotide ribosomal RNA is filed under the name Maltzanella dickhauti. RNAcentral describes it as "Helix dickhauti partial 16S ribosomal RNA". It matches the Rfam family "Archaeal large subunit ribosomal RNA", at positions 1924 to 2670 of the family's 2987-position model. Lineage: Eukaryota; Metazoa; Mollusca; Gastropoda; Stylommatophora; Helicidae. The record is from RNAcentral.
AGCUAUAUGAUAUAUUAUAUAGUUGUUUUCUGCUCCAUGAUCAUUAAAUAGCCGCAGUACCUUGACUGUGCUAAGGUAGCAUAAUCAGUUGGCUCUUAAUUAGGGUCUAGAAUGAACGAAAGUAUGGGCAAUAUCUGUCUUUGUUGUAUUUAUACUAAGUUUGUUAGUAAGUGCAAAUACUUACAAUGAUAUAAAAGACGAGAAGACCCUAGAAACUUGAAAAGACGUUUUGUUGGGGCGACAAAAUUACAUAAAACUAAUUUUAUUAUACUUGAUGUAGUAAAGUAAGAGUAAGUUACUCUAGGGAUAACAGCAUAAUUUUAACAGUUUGUGACCUCGAUGUUGGACUAGGUAUGGUAUUCUUUAGAUAAGAGUGCUAUCUGCUCUGUUCGAGCAAUGACACCUACAU